This 262-nucleotide ribosomal RNA is filed under the name uncultured bacterium. RNAcentral's name for it is "partial 16S ribosomal RNA". It matches the Rfam family "Bacterial small subunit ribosomal RNA", at positions 508 to 769 of the family's 1533-position model. The record is from RNAcentral.
CCAGCAGCCGCGGUAAUACGUAGGGAGCGAGCGUUGUCCGGAUUUAUUGGGCGUAAAGGGCGUGUAGGCGGCCUGUUAAGUCUGAAGUGAAAAUCCAGGGCUCAACCCUGGAACUGCUUCGGAUACUGAUGGGCUUGAGUGCUCUAGAGGGUAGUGGAAUUGCCGGUGUAGCAGUGAAAUGCGUAGAGAUCGGCAGGAACACCAGUGGCGAAGGCGACUGCCUGGGGAGUAACUGACGCUGAGGCGCGAAAGCUGGGGGAGC